Molecule: long non-coding RNA, 1644 nt
Organism: Oryctolagus cuniculus (rabbit)
Lineage: Eukaryota; Metazoa; Chordata; Mammalia; Lagomorpha; Leporidae
Source: Ensembl
AUGAGGGAAGUGAGGGUGAGGAAGCAAGACACAAUUUCAAGUAGAUUUCACAAGAGUAGCCAACCUUGGAGAAACAGAAAACAGAACACCGGGGUGGUUGGACCUGACUUCUUGUCGGUUGGGGGAAAGGAGCUGAGAUACGGAUUGGCAUCUGCUGCUUCCCUGCCAGAGGCCCUGCAGAGUCCUCUCGGUGCUGGCCCGAGGUACACGACCCUAAGCAGAGAGGACGGGGAUCUCCGUCAGCCUGGAAGAUGUGUUUAUCAAUGACCUUCGACAUAUCAGAGACAACUCCAAGUAAGAGGAAGGCAUUUGUCCCAGAAACUCAUGGAUCUGGGUGAGGAAGGAAUAUCCCAGGUAUGUGAGAAUGGAGAGAACAAAAUAAGGAAUGGUGGGGAUGGGCUGAACAGUGCUUUCCUGCAAUCAACUAUGAGGAGUUAAAUGCUGAUUGUUGCUAUAACAGAUCAAGAAAUACAGAAAAUUCUAAAGCCUAAAUCAAAGGAUAUUUCUAAUCUGUGAUUUCCAUGCAGAAGUCAGCAUAUUAAGCAGAAUAGGUUAUACUAAACUAGCAUCAAUACCUCUUUUUCUAUUUUAAAAGAUUUAUUUUAAAGGUAGAGCUACAGAGAAAGAGGGAUAUACAGGAACAUAGAGAGGAGAGAGAUAAACUGAGAUUCAGAGAGAGAGAGAGAGAGAGAGAGAGACAUAUGUCUGCUGGUUAACUCCCCAAGUGGUUACAACAUCCAGGGCUGGGCCUGGCUGAAACCAGGAGCCUAGAACUCCAUCCAGGUAUCCCUCCUGGGUGGCUAGGGUCCAAGUAUCUGAGCCAUCUUCCACUGCUUUCCCAGGUACAUUACCAGGGAGCUAGAUUGGAAGUGGAGUAGUCAGGUCUUGAACCAGGGUUCCUAUGGGUUGCUGGUGUUGCAGACAGUAGGCUUAACCUACUGUAUCAGAAUGCCAGCCCCUGUCUUUUUCCUUUUAGCGAGCAGUACUAAUUGAUGAAGACAAAAAAGACAUAAUAUGAUUUGCAUGUUAUAAGAAAGCAAAAAAAGUAUCAUUCCCAAUGAUAAAAAUACUUUGUACUUUUUUUAAGUGCUUAGAUAGAUGAUCUCUCACCCCCCUUUCUCUCUGCCCCUCUCCCAUCUCUUACCAUCUGCAAGAAAAUGUUCUAUUUUAUCCACACAAAAACACCCAUUUGGCAGAAAACCAAGGCUCAAUGAGAUUUAUUGACUUAAGUCUACACAGCUAGAAAAUUAAAUUUUGUCUUCAUCACAUCAAGCAUUAAACAAUUCUCUACAAAACUGUACCAAGCUAAUUUGUGUCCUAAAAGAUAGCUGGUUGAAAGAAGUGGUAAACAGUGGAGCUUUUAUUUAUCAAAUAUGAAAAUGAAAAACGAAUGUCCAUUUUAGGCACACACUUUUGUGGCAAAUGAUGACUAACAAUGUAGUUCUCCAUGUCAGUGUGACAACCUAUUAAAAGAGAGUGAUUUGCUCAGGUGAACAUUUCUCACCAUCCUGACCUGUUGUCCAUUUGAUGAAAAGCAUAUGUGGAUUCCCAAAUGUGCAGACCUAAUAUCUCCUUAGCAGGAUGAAUUCUGUGCAACUCACUGAUAUCAAUAAAAUCAGAAAAUUUCUAUUCGGAAAGAAUAGA